AACGAACGCUGGCGGCAUGCCUAACACAUGCAAGUCGAACGAGACCUUCGGGUCUAGUGGCGCACGGGUGCGUAACGCGUGGGAACCUGCCCUUAGGUUCGGAAUAACUCCCCGAAAGGGGUGCUAAUACCGGCUAAUGUCUUCGGACCAAAGAGUUAUCGCCUUUGGAUGGGCCCGCGUUGGAUUAGCUAGUUGGUAGGGUAAAAGCCUACCAAGGCGACGAUCCAUAGCUGGUCUGAGAGGAUGAUCAGCCACACUGGGACUGAGACACGGCCCAGACUCCUACGGGAGGCAGCAGUGGGGAAUAUUGGACAAUGGGCGAAAGCCUGAUCCAGCAAUGCCGCGUGAGUGAUGAAGGCCUUAGGGUUGUAAAGCUAUUUUACCCGGGACGAUAAUGACAGUACCGGGAGAAUAAGCACCGGCUAACUCCGUG
This 433-nucleotide ribosomal RNA is filed under the name uncultured bacterium. RNAcentral describes it as "partial 16S ribosomal RNA". It matches the Rfam family "Bacterial small subunit ribosomal RNA", at positions 29 to 507 of the family's 1533-position model. The record is from RNAcentral.